AGGAGAGGGUCUCUCCUCCAAGUGGCACGACUUGCUUCACUUACCAGACGACCUCAGUUUGACUCUGGUCCGUGGACGGAGAAGGACGAAUGCCUGGGUGAUCCGCAUAGUUCUAAUGCAAAAAAUGCCAUGGAUGCGAGCGGAAAUGUUCAGUGUGCCUGGAAGUGUGCUAAGGAGAACUACAAUAUCUCAAAGACAGUCAUGACGUACUCAAUAAACGUUGAAAACUA
Long non-coding RNA from Ornithodoros turicata, 230 nucleotides. RefSeq lists it as uncharacterized. The record is from RefSeq and is a predicted model, not a curated record. The transcript is spliced from 2 exons. NCBI's taxonomy places the organism in Eukaryota, Metazoa, Arthropoda, Arachnida, Ixodida, Argasidae.